RNAcentral lists this ribosomal RNA (821 nucleotides) under Aggregatibacter aphrophilus. RNAcentral's name for it is "bacterial SSU rRNA". It matches the Rfam family "Bacterial small subunit ribosomal RNA", at positions 56 to 869 of the family's 1533-position model. Lineage: Bacteria; Pseudomonadati; Pseudomonadota; Gammaproteobacteria; Pasteurellales; Pasteurellaceae. The record is from RNAcentral.
UGCAGUCGAACGGUAGCAGGUAAGUACUUGUACUUAUGCUGACGAGUGGCGGACGGGUGAGUAAUGCUUGGGGAUCUGGCUUAUGGAGGGGGAUAACGACGGGAAACUGUCGCUAAUACCGCGUAGAAUUGAGAGAUGAAAGUGUGGGACCUUCGGGCCACAUGCCAUAGGAUGAACCCAAGUGGGAUUAGGUAGUUGGUAGGGUAAUGGCCUACCAAGCCGACGAUCUCUAGCUGGUCUGAGAGGAUGACCAGCCACACCGGGACUGAGACACGGCCCGGACUCCUACGGGAGGCAGCAGUGGGGAAUAUUGCGCAAUGGGGGGAACCCUGACGCAGCCAUGCCGCGUGAAUGAAGAAGGCCUUCGGGUUGUAAAGUUCUUUCGGUGACGAGGAAGGUUGUUGUGUUAAUAGCGCAACAAAUUGACGUUAAUCACAGAAGAAGCACCGGCUAACUCCGUGCCAGCAGCCGCGGUAAUACGGAGGGUGCGAGCGUUAAUCGGAAUAACUGGGCGUAAAGGGCACGCAGGCGGACUUUUAAGUGAGGUGUGAAAUCCCCGGGCUUAACCUGGGAAUUGCAUUUCAGACUGGGGGUCUAGAGUACUUUAGGGAGGGGUAGAAUUCCACGUGUAGCGGUGAAAUGCGUAGAGAUGUGGAGGAAUACCGAAGGCGAAGGCAGCCCCUUGGGAAUGUACUGACGCUCAUGUGCGAAAGCGUGGGGAGCAAACAGGAUUAGAUACCCUGGUAGUCCACGCUGUAAACGCUGUCGAUUUGGGGAUUGGGCUUUGAGCUUGGUGCCCGUAGCUAACGUGAUAAAUCGAC